Molecule: long non-coding RNA, 666 nt
Filed under: Helicoverpa zea (corn earworm)
Lineage: Eukaryota; Metazoa; Arthropoda; Insecta; Lepidoptera; Noctuidae
Description: uncharacterized LOC124635398
Source: RNAcentral
UUACUUUUAUUACUUUUAGAGCAUACUGGCCAGACGCAAUUUAAAACCCCAUAAAGAUUUGCCUAUUCCUCAAUGUCUAAUACAUACUCGUAUACAAACUUUGCGUUUGCCAUACAUCAAGCAUUCAAAGCUACGGAUUAAGAAUAUGGUUGCCUUACAAGGCGAGUCAGGAUGUAGAUUUUCAAAAGAACUAGAAGAUCAUCGACCUCAGCGAUCGCCCUGGCUCUGCGAUGACAGUUUUUCAUCCUGACAAAAUCGAUCAUUGUUUAAAGAUCAAGGCUAAUAUUUUGUUAUAUAAGCUUCGCAUUAUUAGAGCUUUGUAUGAUUCAGUAAGCUGCAUCGCUCUAUCAACAUGUUCGCUAAAAUCUUCGCUCUCUUCGCUCUGUUGGCGGUGGCCUUCGCUGCGCCCAGCCCCAACCCCAAGCCCCAGGUGCUGGCCUACUCCGCUGGACUUGACUACGGCUACAUCCCUUCUGCUGGCGUGGUUCCCUCAGUGUACUCAGCUUACUCCCCCGUCGCCUACUCCGCAUACCCGGCUGCCCCUACUGUCUACGUUCGGUGAAGACUGACCUGUAUACUACAAGCUUCAGACCACUAUUCAAUUCAAACAUGAAUCCAACCGAUUGUAAUGCAAUAAUUUCAAGCAAAUAAAAUUAUAUCAAACAA